CCAAAGAAUCCUAAUUUGCACUAGGAGUCCAAAAAUUGACGAGAUACCAAUUGAUUCGUGUUGCACCGAGGAAGAAUUGUGCACACGUUUAAAUCCUACUAACACAAGAAACAAGAAGGUGUUAGAUAUUGUAAAGGAAGAAUAAAAAUAAAACAAAUGAAAACCUACAGCUAAGAAUCAAUAAAAAUUGCUGAAAUCCAAAAACCCGAAAAACUGCGGAGUAACUUGACAACUUCGUUCGACAUGUUUCCAAUCUCAAAAAAUCACUAAAUUAAAUCUAGAAUGUCCUUAAAUAUUUAAUUUUUUAUCUGGAAAGUUUGGGCACCAAACUCAACCCG
Molecule: long non-coding RNA, 338 nt
Filed under: Gossypium barbadense (sea-island cotton)
Lineage: Eukaryota; Viridiplantae; Streptophyta; Magnoliopsida; Malvales; Malvaceae
Description: long non-coding RNA (GBAR_LNC017070)
Source: RNAcentral